AUGAUCUCAUGGCUCUGCCCAUGUAAGCCAGCGCCAGCACUUUGUCUCUCCCAGUGCGGUCGUGACCAGCUUAGAGCGAUGGUUGUCGACAGCUUUCUCCUUAUCCCCAGCCUCCUGCUCCUGGUGGCUGGGGUGUCUCUGCUCACUGCUUCCUGGCGCCGACAGGGUUCUGACCGGCGCCAACAAUGGUGGAUGUGGUGGCUGCAAGUGAUGGCAUCGAAGUCAGGUGCUGAGAGGCAGGCAGGCAGGCACAGGAGCCCCCGGUGCAGGCCACAUUGCUCCCAGCAGCAAGCAUCAGGAUGGAAGGGCAAUCCCAUCCUGCCCCAUCCCUUCCAGCCAGGAAAGACCCGGCCUUUGUUGCUGCGCAGUGCAUGCCCCUCUCUUCACAUGGACUCUGCCACUGGUACAAUGAGCUCUGUGGGGAAACCCGGCAGGCUUCCCAGACAGGACCAGCGCCCGCAGGUUCUGGUGGCACGUGGGAUCCCCAGGACGCUCAGUCAGCGUCCUAGGCGAGGCGGUGGAGUUGAAGACCUGCCACCUGAGAUCUCCAACUUCACAAAGCCACCAGUGAAAGGGACGGUCUUCCAGGAGGGCCUCGUUCACACAGAGGAGAGAAAACGCUGGUGGGACUACGAGACCAAGAGGCUUUUUUGGCGUAUGCACUCCCCAGCACUUCCCAAAGUGCACAGGAAAGCAGGAGCAGCUGCAAGACCAUCCCGAGGACCAGCUUUGAGCCUGGGGAGAAAAGCAGAUGGCAAAGCUGAAGCCCGCCAGCCCUUCAACUCUGGCUUCAGUGAGGAGCACAGAGAAAUCGGAAAUGCUCGCUACGGAAAGUCUCUACUGGCAGCUCCUGGUGUCCCUAAAAUGGCCCAACACUAA
Molecule: long non-coding RNA, 879 nt
Filed under: Phasianus colchicus (ring-necked pheasant)
Lineage: Eukaryota; Metazoa; Chordata; Aves; Galliformes; Phasianidae
Description: lncRNA (ENSPCLG00000015575.1)
Source: RNAcentral